UGCCAUUCCUCUGUACCGGUCGAGGAUCUUGAUACUGGGACGACUGGCUAGGACGCGGUCCCGUGCCAUCUUCAGUUCAAGUAGCUGUAGUUUCCUCCGCAAUGACCUGUUUUCUUUCUGGCUUUGAGUUAUUUCCAAACGAAACACUGCAUAGUCGUCGUCUACGAGUUUACAGAUCUCUGCCACGGCGGCAUUCGCUAACACCUCCAUUAUGGAGGCAAUUUGCGUGUGGAAAACCAUACCGUUAGUCAUUGUUAGCUAACGUUAGCAGCUAGCUAGCGUUAACUAUAUAUCUAUCACAAAGUCCUGUCUCUAACAAGUAUUAAAGACUACAUAUGGUUAGGUGCCUCUCGUGGUGAACGCCCACCCUGACCCUGUCUGCAUUCGUGGGGUUACCAUGAGGCAGCUGAGGAAGGCUAGACCCAGGUCCAGGCUUACUAUGAACCCAGUCACCAGAUAUUAGAUGAGAUCCUGAAGGAAAAGAAAGACUUCCUGAUAGACUACCACCCAGGGGAUCUCCCACCAUUCUCUGUGAAGGCUGACGCCUAAGGUGACCUGCUCUGUUCAUCAUGGAUACUGUGGUGUUUGUAUCAUAGGAACAGGAGGGUCUAUCUCUAUCAGCCCCAGGUCCUGCUUCAUCCCUGCACUGAGACUGUGAAGAGAAGGGUCUGGGCUUCAGACUGGAUCCCUGACUGAAGCCUCUGUCUCUCUGAUGACCACCAGGACUGAGGUUGUUCAGUCCACCUGUCCACUGGUUGUGUUCUGUGUAGUGGUGGAAUCUCUGUCCCUCGUCGGUUGGACCUAGUUCCGAAUCGGGACGGAAUAACAAUGGCUCCUGAUCCAGGGUUCUGAUCCGGGGCCAGGGUUUGUGACCAGCCUCUUCAGAGGUCCACUCUCUCCCGCCAGCAACACCGGAUAUCAGCAGGUCUUCAUGGACUGCAGACUAAACACACAUUUUACAAAAGAGCAUAUAAAAGGUUCAUAUAAGAAACUCUGCUGUACACACAGUAACAUGACAUAUUAUAAAAUGUUCAUCCACAGUCAAGCCCAUCUCUAACACUGUGAUUCAAGUACCCAACAAUAUGGACCAUUGGAGUUUUAUUUUUUUUUUUAAAGCCAUGUGUUGAUUCAAUAAUUAAGUAUAAUGUUUUGGUUCGACUGAAAUGAUACAAAAAAAAACAAACAAGCCAGUCAGCAGAGUCAAAUUUGUAUUUAAUUUCAACUAAAAUGGAAAUACACUUACAUAAUGUAAAGUACAGUACUUUUUUAUUAAAGAAAACAAUACGUUGGGCUGUGGUGGUCAUGACAAA
Oncorhynchus mykiss (rainbow trout) is the source of this 1310-nucleotide non-coding RNA. NCBI's taxonomy places the organism in Eukaryota, Metazoa, Chordata, Actinopteri, Salmoniformes, Salmonidae. The record is from RefSeq and is a predicted model, not a curated record.